Molecule: ribosomal RNA, 920 nt
Filed under: uncultured bacterium
Lineage: Bacteria
Description: bacterial SSU rRNA
Rfam family: Bacterial small subunit ribosomal RNA
Source: RNAcentral
AAGUCUGCUGUUAAAGCGUGGAGCUUAACUCCAUUUCGGCAGUGGAAACUGACAGACUAGAGUGUGGUAGGGGCAGAGGGAAUUCCCGGUGUAGCGGUGAAAUGCGUAGAUAUCGGGAAGAACACCAGUGGCGAAGGCGCUCUGCUGGGCCAUAACUGACGCUCAUGGACGAAAGCCAGGGGAGCGAAAGGGAUUAGAUACCCCUGUAGUCCUGGCCGUAAACGAUGAACACUAGGUGUCGGGGGAAUCGACCCCCUCGGUGUCGUAGCCAACGCGUUAAGUGUUCCGCCUGGGGAGUACGCACGCAAGUGUGAAACUCAAAGGAAUUGACGGGGGCCCGCACAAGCGGUGGAGUAUGUGGUUUAAUUCGAUGCAACGCGAAGAACCUUACCAGGGUUUGACAUCCUGCGAAUCUCUUGGAAACGAGAGAGUGCCUUCGGGAGCGCAGUGACAGGUGGUGCAUGGCUGUCGUCAGCUCGUGUCGUGAGAUGUUGGGUUAAGUCCCGCAACGAGCGCAACCCACGUCGUUAGUUGCCAGCAUUUAGUUGGGCACUCUAGCGAGACCGCCGGUGAUAAACCGGAGGAAGGUGUGGAUGACGUCAAGUCAUCAUGCCCCUUACAUCCUGGGCUACACACGUACUACAAUGCUACGGACAAAGGGCAGCAAACUCGCGAGAGCUAGCAAAUCCCAUAAACCGUGGCUCAGUUCAGAUCGUAGGCUGCAACUCGCCUACGUGAAGGAGGAAUCGCUAGUAAUCGCAGGUCAGCAUACUGCGGUGAAUACGUUCCCGGGCCUUGUACACACCGCCCGUCACACCAUGGAAGUUGGCCACGCCCGAAGCCGUUACUCCAACCCUUGUGGAGGAGGACGUCGAAGGUGGGGCUGAUGACUGGGGUGAAGUCGUAACAAGGUAGCCGUA